Molecule: long non-coding RNA, 427 nt
Filed under: Phoenix dactylifera (date palm)
Lineage: Eukaryota; Viridiplantae; Streptophyta; Magnoliopsida; Arecales; Arecaceae
Description: long non-coding RNA (PDAC_LNC004682)
Source: RNAcentral
UAGCCAUUUGGGUUCUUGUAGUGCAGAUUGACUGCAGUAGGUUCAUUGUAGGAGUAGGGGUGCAUCUAGAUGGAAUCUAUCGACCUUGAUAGAUUAGGAGAGAUCCUAUGUGAUUUAUGAGACUGAGUUCGUAAAUCCUCGGUCGGGGUAGCAUGUACAGUGGAAAAGAAGUUUUCCACUCUCGAACUUAAGUCGAAUAAAUCUUGACAUAUGACAGACGAUGGGGUUUGACGAGUUAUCCAUGUCCUCCGUCCUAUAGGGAUUCACGAUAGAAAGACUGUAUCAUACGAUAACUGCACCUAGAGGUUCAUCAUUCCAUUCUGCUGGGUUGCCACUACAUGCUGCUAGGUGUCACUGGUGGAUGGUGAGACUCACAGGGACUAUCUUGAUGAUCGAUGAUCCCUGGUGAGUUGAGUUGGAAUUGUUC